Molecule: small RNA, 771 nt
Filed under: Histoplasma ohiense
Lineage: Eukaryota; Fungi; Ascomycota; Eurotiomycetes; Onygenales; Ajellomycetaceae
Description: hypothetical lncRNA
Source: RNAcentral
GACAGUCUUCACCUCACUAGUCUACUCUUAUGUUCAGCUACUCUCUACGGAGUAGUUACAUUUCCCUUUUCAUAACUGAGUCAUUAUACCAUUCUGGAUCUAGCCCUCAAUGGGGGCCUUGCCCCACAAUUGCUCAUGCAAUACUAAGCAGUCCCUUGUCAAUUGAACUAGAUAUGUAAGGAUCACAACACCUUAGAAUCCCACACUAUACUGAAUUCAUCUAGACUUUGCUCCACCCUGCAGUGGCAGUUAUAAUAGAAAUGAGAGAAGAAAGAGUACCCUCAAUAUCCACCAAGAUGUGAUAAUAUCCUUUUGAAGAAGAUGGGAUUCAAACCCACUACCUUCUUGUCUCAGCAGUGGUGGCCUCAACACCAAGUGCCUACUUGAGAAAGCAUUCCAUGAACAGCGCUUACCACUACGCCAUCCACCUACCUGCUGGGGGCAUUCUUUGUGCCGGCGGAAAUGUUGCUUUCCUUCCGUCAAGAUCAUAUACAAUACAAGUGGAUUUAUUACCAACUCCAUAGCAAUGCCAGUUGUGGAAGGAUAGCAGAUUUAUCAGUCCCUCCAGGAGUCAGGUGCCUGUUAUGAAUGAAGAUGGUAGGACAAGGUCAAGGGUCCGCUGAGCUGUACUUUUGAAUAUUUACCUUAUGGGUAGAUCAAAUAUUGGCCUAUUAGCCGCUGUGGAAGAGAUUUUGGUGUGACAAAGGAAAAGAAUGGACUGAAAAGCCAUAGACAUCCAGAAGAGGUAAAAAAAAAAAAUAAGAAAGAGAG